RNAcentral lists this small RNA (152 nucleotides) under Theobroma cacao (cacao). RNAcentral describes it as "sRNA Tc05v2_g011940". Lineage: Eukaryota; Viridiplantae; Streptophyta; Magnoliopsida; Malvales; Malvaceae. The record is from RNAcentral.
CAAAGAAAAAGUGUGAUUUUUCAAGGAAUCAAGUGUUUAAAGGUGGUGAGCUAUCUGAUACGGGUAAAAGACUACACCCGAGGACCGAGAAUAGGAGUAUAUCUACUCCUAGUACAUGGGCACUGCAGUGACGGGGGUUCCGUGGGCCAGCC